AUGUUACAGCCUAUUCUUUAUACUACAGCCCACUGUUACAGCCUAUUCUUUAUACUACAGCCCACUGUUACAGCCUAUUCUUUAUACUACAGCCCACUGUUACAGCCUAUUCUUUAUACUACAGCCCACUGUUACAGCCUAUUCUUUAUACUACAGCCCACUGUUACAGCCUAUUCUUUGUUACAGCCCACUGUUACAGCCUAUUCUUUAUACUACAGCCCACUGUUACAGCCUAUUCUUUAUACUACAGCCCACUGUUACAGCCUAUUCUUUAUGUUACAGCCUAUUCUUUAUACUACAGCCUAUUCUUUAUGUUACAGCCCACUGUUACAGCCUAUUCUUUAUACUACAGCCCACUGUUACAGCCUAUUCUUUAUACUACAGCCUACUGUUACAGCCUAUUCUUUAUGUUACAGCCCACUGUUACAGCCUAUUCUUUAUACUACAGCCCACUGUUACAGCCUAUUCUUUAUACUACAGCCCACUGUUACAGCCUAUUCUUUAUACUACAGCCCACUGUUACAGCCUAUUCUUUAUACUACAGCCCACUGUUACAGCCUAUUCUUUAUACUACAGCCCACUGUUACAGCCUAUUCUUUAUACUACAGCCCACUGUUACAGCCUAUUCUUUAUGUUACAGCCCACUGUUACAGCCUAUUCUUUAUACUACAGCCCACUGUUACAGCCUAUUCUUUAUACUACAGCCCACUGUUACAGCCUAUUCUUUAUACUACAGCCCACUGUUACAGCCUAUUCUUUAUACUACAGCCCACUGUUACAGCCUAUUCUUUAUGUUACAGCCCACUGUUACAGCCUAUUCUUUAUACUACAGCCCACUGUUACAGCCUAUUCUUUAUACUACAGCCCACUGUUACAGCCUAUUCUUUAUACUACAGCCCACUGUUACAGCCUAUUCUUUAUACUACAGCCCACUGUUACAGCCUAUUCUUUAUACUACAGCCCACUGUUACAGCCUAUUCUUUAUGUUACAGCCUAUUCUUUAUACUACAGCCCACUGUUACAGCCUAUUCUUUAUACUACAGCCUAUUCUUUAUACUACAGCCCACUGUUACAGCCUAUUCUUUAUACUACAGCCCACUGUUACAGCCUAUUCUUUAUACUACAGCCCACUGUUACAGCCUAUUCUUUAUACUACAGCCCACUGUUACAGCCUAUUCUUUAUGUUACAGCCUAUUCUUUAUACUACAGCCCACUGUUACAGCCUAUUCUUUAUACUACAGCCUAUUCUUUAUACUACAGCCCACUGUUACAGCCUAUUCUUUAUACUACAGCCCAAUGUUACAGCCUAUUCUUUAUGUUACAGCCCACUGUUACAGCCUAUUCUUUAUACUACAGCCCACUGUUACAGCCUAUUCUUUAUACUACAGCCUAUUCUUUAUGUUACAGCCUAUUCUUUAUACUACAGCCCACUGUUUUAUUUUUUAUUUUUUAUUUUACCUUUAUUUAACUAGGCAAGAUCAGUUAAGAACAAAUUCUUAUUUUCAAUGA
This 1509-nucleotide long non-coding RNA is filed under the name Oncorhynchus kisutch (coho salmon). Its description in RNAcentral is "lncRNA (ENSOKIG00005036111.1)". The record is from RNAcentral. Lineage: Eukaryota; Metazoa; Chordata; Actinopteri; Salmoniformes; Salmonidae.